This 250-nucleotide ribosomal RNA is filed under the name uncultured bacterium. RNAcentral's name for it is "partial 16S ribosomal RNA". It matches the Rfam family "Bacterial small subunit ribosomal RNA", at positions 524 to 773 of the family's 1533-position model. The record is from RNAcentral.
UACGAGGGGGGCAAGCGUUGUCCGGAUUUACUGGGCGUAAAGGAUGCGUAGGCGGAUGUUUAAGUGAGAUGUGAAAUACCCGAGCUCAACUUGGGUGCUGCAUUUCAAACUGGAUAUCUAGAGUGCAGGAGAGGAAAGCGGAAUUCCUAGUGUAGCGGUGAAAUGCGUAGAGAUUAGGAAGAACACCAGUGGCGAAGGCGGCUUUCUGGACUGUAACUGACGCUGAGGCAUGAAAGCGUGGGGAGCAAAC